This 1782-nucleotide long non-coding RNA is filed under the name Medicago truncatula (barrel medic). RNAcentral describes it as "lncRNA gene19177". Lineage: Eukaryota; Viridiplantae; Streptophyta; Magnoliopsida; Fabales; Fabaceae. The record is from RNAcentral.
AUUAAUCUAAACGUUGCUCUCCUUCAAAUUAAAUCAGUGAACCGUAACCUUCAAAAACAUGAACCAGAAACCUUUGGCAACAUGAUCAAACACCAUACAAGAUGAGAACAAUCAAAACAAAUAGCAACAAACAAGAGCAAAAAAAUAUAAAGAAAUCAUGAUAAAUUAUUAUUGUUGAAACACUAAACUGAAGUGAUUUACAAAGAACUCAAGCUAACAAAACAAGCUAAGGUUUUAUCAGUUACAAUUCAAACAAAGAUGAUGAAAAUGUUACAAGUAAACAACAGCCAUUAUCUUUCUGGCAGAAGUGUACACAAGUAAAGAGACUCUCACAACACUUAAAAGACAGUACUCUACAACCAAUUAUACUUUGUUCUUUCUUUCUCAAUUAGUCUGUUUUCUCAACACCUAAUCCAUACAACACACCAGAAUAUUUCUCUGUUUCGCCGUUGAAGAAUGUUUCCCUCAACUUCCUAAAUGUACAAGCUGUGAGUAAACUAUCCGAUCCAGCUUGAUGGCACACACCAACCCUCUCAACGUCCAACAAUUCCGCAAGCUUGUUCAAACCACCAUGAAGACUGUUGCAGAACUUCAUCAAAUGCUUGAUAUCAUACACAAUCGGGAAAUAAAUCCCGAUCAAAUCGAAGAAUCCAGCUUGUGUAUCCGGCAAAGCCCUGCACGUCAAAAGCUUCAAAAGAUAACCAAAAUCAUAACCACUGUGAAAAGUAACCCAAUGAACAUUAUCAUUCAACACAAUCCCCGAUGACAUCAAAAGUUCCCCAAAUCGGUUCACAUCAAUUCCUUGCUCGCUGUUCUUCUUAAAAUCAAUUCCGCAUUGACGCAAAAGCUCAAUCGAAUCAGCAGCGAAAAUAUCUUCGCUAACAUUAAACUCGCGAAAAUUGAAUUGCCAGAUGCAAGGACUAUCAGUGCCACAAGUAGGUAAAUUUCCAUUCUCAUCAGAAAAAGUUAAACCUAACUGAAUCAGCUUCAACAUAUCAACGUUAUCCUUCAAAGUCUGAUAGUUAAAAUCAUUAAUAUGCUUAAAAUUCCCAACAGGCCGAAGAACAACACCAGGAAACUCCGUAUCCAUCGCAACAUAGUUAUACUUAUCAACAAUUUCACGAAUCAACACAAACUCCUCUUCCAGAUUAUCGUUCCAUACCUCUCUGAUUUGAAUCGAAUCACCUUUCUGUAAAUCCUUCGGUAAAUCCGUCAUUUCACAAACAACAAAUCCAAAUCAAAACCACUCAGAUCUGUAAUCAAAUCACACAAAAAAACCGUUCAAAUCUCGGAACCUAGCAAAUCUACAGCAACAAAAUCAACAUGAACUAAAUCGAGUAGUAAAAAGGUAAAAAAACCUGAAGAAUCUUCAAAUUCAGUGAGUUGAGCUUUGAAUCAAACGUAUGAGGUGGAAAUUGAACUAGAUCUGAAACAAAAACAAGUAUAGAAGAAGCGUCAAAUAACGAAUCAACUAAAUUAAAUCAAAUCGAAUUGAAGUGAACUAGGGUUAGAGGUUUGAAGUGAGAAACCCUGGAAAACGAAGUAGUAGUUAAUAGAGUGAAGAAAACGGUAGAAUCGAACCUUGUAGUGAAGAAAACGAAGGUUGAAGUAUCACCGAUCUUCGACGAAGAUCGAUUUUGGAGUCAACGAAGCAGAGGGAUUGGGAAAUGGAAGAGAGAGAGAAGAACGAAGGUUGGGGUACGAGGGUUGAGUCUGGAUUUGUACUCGGUGAGAACGUGGGGUCGUUUUGAUUAAAAUUGACGUCGUUUACAAUUGGGCCUG